Molecule: ribosomal RNA, 496 nt
Filed under: uncultured bacterium
Lineage: Bacteria
Description: partial 16S ribosomal RNA
Rfam family: Bacterial small subunit ribosomal RNA
Source: RNAcentral
ACGAACGCUGGCGGCGUGCCUAAUACAUGCAAGUAGAACGCUGAAGAGAGGAGCUUGCUCUUCUUGGAUGAGUUGCGAACGGGUGAGUAACGCGUAGGUAACCUGCCUGGUAGCGGGGGAUAACUAUUGGAAACGAUAGCUAAUACCGCAUAAAAUGGAUUAUCGCAUGAUAAUCCAUUGAAAGGUGCAAAUGCAUCACUACCAGAUGGACCUGCGUUGUAUUAGCUAGUUGGUGGGGUAACGGCCCACCAAGGCGACGAUACAUAGCCGACCUGAGAGGGUGAUCGGCCAAACUGGGACUGAGACACGGCCCAGACUCCUACGGGAGGCGGCAGGAGGGGAACUUCGGCAAUGGACGGAAGUCUGACCGAGCAACGCCGCGUGAGUGAAGAAGGUUUUCGGAUCGUAAAGCUCUGUUGUAAGAGAAGAACGAGUGUGAGAGUAGAAAGUUCACACUGUGACGGUAUCUUACCAGAAAGGGACGGCUAACUACGUG